Molecule: ribosomal RNA, 183 nt
Filed under: Trichoderma viride
Lineage: Eukaryota; Fungi; Ascomycota; Sordariomycetes; Hypocreales; Hypocreaceae
Source: RNAcentral
CCGAGUUUACAACUCCCAAACCCAAUGUGAACGUUACCAAACUGUUGCCUCGGCGGGGUCACGCCCCGGGUGCGUCGCAGCCCCGGAACCAGGCGCCCGCCGGAGGAACCAACCAAACUCUUUCUGUAGUCCCCUCGCGGACGUAUUUCUUUACAGCUCUGAGCAAAAAUUCAAAAUGAAUCA